RNAcentral lists this ribosomal RNA (466 nucleotides) under uncultured bacterium. RNAcentral describes it as "partial 16S ribosomal RNA". It matches the Rfam family "Bacterial small subunit ribosomal RNA", at positions 28 to 507 of the family's 1533-position model. The record is from RNAcentral.
GAUGAACGCUGGCGGCGUGCUUAACACAUGCAAGUCGAUCGGAAAGGCUCCUGCUUGCAGGGGUACUCGAGUGGCGAACGGGUGAGUAACACGUGGGUGAUCUGCCCUGCACUUCGGGAUAAGCCUGGGAAACUGGGUCUAAUACCGGAUAGGACGAUGGUUUGGAUGCCAUUGUGGAAAGUUUUUUCGGUGUGGGAUGAGCUCGCGGCCUAUCAGCUUGUUGGUGGGGUAAUGGCCUACCAAGGCGUCGACGGGUAGCCGGCCUGAGAGGGUGUACGGCCACAUUGGGACUGAGAUACGGCCCAGACUCCUACGGGAGGCAGCAGUGGGGAAUAUUGCACAAUGGGCGCAAGCCUGAUGCAGCGACGCCGCGUGGGGGAUGACGGCCUUCGGGUUGUAAACUCCUUUCGCUAGGGACGAAGCGCAAGUGACGGUACCUGGAGAAGAAGCACCGGCUAACUACGUG